RNAcentral lists this long non-coding RNA (887 nucleotides) under Setaria viridis. RNAcentral describes it as "long non-coding RNA (SVIR_LNC003575)". Lineage: Eukaryota; Viridiplantae; Streptophyta; Magnoliopsida; Poales; Poaceae. The record is from RNAcentral.
GUAGUGCACAGUAACAGGAGAGGGAGACCAUCAAGCAGCCAAGCCAUUGCAUCAGAUGGCUUCUUAUUUACUUGUAGCAGACCAUAUUAUAGGAAGGCAUGUGUGUGUGCAUGCCCUCAUCUUCAGCAGUUGCAGGGGUUGCACUUGCAGCUGGAGCCGCAGCUGCAGCCAUGGCCUGCCUCACCGGACUCGGCGUCCUUCUCGAACCCCACCUCGGAGGGCCUGCAACAGAAACAUAGCAGAUUUAGGCAUGGAACUUGAAGUCUGUUUCGAGUUCGAUAUCAAUCUUAGGUAACUUGGUGAAAAUUCAUACCCCUUCUCAGGUGCAACGCCGAGGACCAUGGCUGCUGGGGCGGUGGUGGUGCUCUUCUCAGCCAGGUCAGGGUACAUCUUUCUGCAUCCGGCAAAAGCAGCACGUAAAUUUUCAGAAACCAGAAAGCAUCAUCUUUGCUCAUAAUAUUUCUCCACAAUAAGUUACAGCUCCGAAACAAUGGAAGAAAAUUAGUAGUUCAGUAAAACAUGUUGAAAUCACUCCAAAUAGGUGGCACCUCUGAACCACUAAUCUCAGUUUAGCUUCACAUAUUCAUGACAGUGGUAUCAAACAUACCCGCAGCCGCCGCCGCAGCUGCAGCUCGAACCGCAGUUGCAACUUCCACCGCAAGACAUCUUCAGGAAUCUGGCCUCUUGUAACCUCAAGAACUUUUAUGCAAAGAGCGAGAGGAAGCUUGAGAUGUUGAGCACAGAGCAAUUGCCGAGGAGAGGGCAUAUGUGCCCCCAAUUUAUAGUGGUUGAGAGGCAAUCAAACAACUGCAUGGCGUCUGAGGCAUUUACAUGCCGUGACGCUAUUGGUUGGCCACUUGGCUGAAAUAGUGCAGGAAAAUACCAGU